GAAAAUCCGUGUUACACAGGCAGAUAGUGAUAGAACAAGGGGAAAUGGUUUUAAACUAAAAGAGGGAAUAUUUAGAUUAGAUGUCAGAGGGAAAUUUUUCACUAAGAGGGUGAUGAGGUGCUGGAACAGGCUGCCCAGGGAAGUUGUGAAUGCCCCAUCCCUGGAGGUGUUCAAUGCCAGAUUGGAUGGUGCCCUGGGUAGCCUGAUCUAGUGCUUGAUCUAGUGGUUGGCAAUCCUGCUCAUGACAGUGGGGUUGGAACUUGAUGAUCUUUGAGAUCCCUUCCAACCCAAGACAUUCUAUGAUUCCAUAAUUCAUAACUUUUCAAGAAUCAAGGGAAUAUGGCUCCCAUCUUCAUAGGUGACACUUUUAUCCUAAACACAGCAAUGACAUUUCCCACCUCUAUGAACAUUAAAUGCUAGAACAGAAUAUUAUCAGUUCAGUGGUGAGUAUGAUCUAGAAACUGUCUUAACCUCACAACGAAGGUCCCAGUCUGUGUGUUUUUUGUUUUUAAGUUAAUUUGGCAUUUAUUACUAAUUAACACAGGUGGUUUAAUACCAGGUGUGAAAUGAUGGAGCAAUCUCCACGGCAGCCUUGGCUUAACAACACUCCACUGCAGGUAUAAUUACAUCAUUAUGGCAUCACUGACGAUGUAAUAACAACACAUAAACACAUGCCCAUUCUAGCUGUCAGCAAACUGUGAACCCAGUGCAACAUGGAGCUCAUUAAGAGCCCUGAAAAAAUACCCAAGAGUUUAGAAGCCACCACCAAGGACUGUGCUGCUCUAUGGCUGAAAACAAUAGCUUCUGUUCUUGUCUGCUUCCCAAGGCUGCUAUGAGAACCAGAAUCUGCCAGCUAAGCAGGACAAAUUGAGAGGUGUGAGAGGUGUUGCAGAGGAAGCAUCUAACGCUAUAUUGGGAAGAAAAACUGCCAUAAAAGGGAUUGGACAAACUCUUCAAAUGGAGGUAAACAAUGUGGAUUACUUGUUCGAUGGACUGAACAACGUGUGCUAGUCUGUAAGGAGUCAAUACCUGAAGGCUAGGAGCACAUCCCAAAG
This 1055-nucleotide long non-coding RNA is filed under the name Numida meleagris (helmeted guineafowl). RNAcentral's name for it is "lncRNA (ENSNMEG00000017040.1)". The record is from RNAcentral. Lineage: Eukaryota; Metazoa; Chordata; Aves; Galliformes; Numididae.